This 484-nucleotide ribosomal RNA is filed under the name uncultured bacterium. RNAcentral's name for it is "partial 16S ribosomal RNA". It matches the Rfam family "Bacterial small subunit ribosomal RNA", at positions 30 to 507 of the family's 1533-position model. The record is from RNAcentral.
AUUGAACGCUGGCGGCAGGCCUAACACAUGCAAGUCGAGCGGAUGAAGGGAGCUUGCUCCUGGAUUCAGCGGCGGACGGGCGAGUAAUGCCUAGGAAUCUGCCUGGUAGUGGGGGAUAACGUCCGGAGACGGGCGCUAAUACCGCAUACGUCCUGAGGGAGAAAGUGGGGGUUCUUCGGACCUCACGCUAUCAGAUGAGCCUAGGUCGGAUUAGCUAGUUGGUGGGGUAAAGGCCUACCAAGGCGACGAUCCGUAACUGGUCUGAGAGGAUGAUCAGUCACACUGGAACUGAGACACGGUCCAGACUCCUACGGGAGGCAGCAGUAGGGAAUAUUGGACAAUGGGUGAAAGCCUGAUCCAGCCAUGCCGCGUGUGUGAAGAAGGUCUUCGGAUUGUAAAGCACUUUAAGUUGGGAGGAAGGGCAGUAAGUUAAUACCUUGCUGUUUUGACGUUACCAACAGAAUAAGCACCGGCUAACUUCGUG